CACGUAGGGUGCGAGCGUUGUCCGGAAUUAUUGGGCGUAAAGAGCUCGUAGGCGGUGUGUCGCGUCGGCCGUGAAAACCUGCAGCUUAACUGUGGGCGUGCGGUCGAUACGGGCAUCACUGGAGUUCGGCAGGGGAGACUGGAAUUCUCGGUGUAGCGGUGAAAUGCGUAGAUAUCGAGAGGAACACCUGCGGCGAAGGCGGGUCUCUGGGCCGAUACUGACGCUGAGGAGCGAAAGCGUGGGGAGCGAACAGG
This 254-nucleotide ribosomal RNA is filed under the name uncultured bacterium. Its description in RNAcentral is "partial 16S ribosomal RNA". It matches the Rfam family "Bacterial small subunit ribosomal RNA", at positions 524 to 776 of the family's 1533-position model. The record is from RNAcentral.